UACGGAGGGGGCUAGCGUUGUUCGGAAUUACUGGGCGUAAAGCGUACGUAGGCGGCUUUGUAAGUUAGAGGUGAAAGCCCGGGGCUCAACUCCGGAAUUGCCUUUAAGACUGCAUCGCUUGAAUCAUGGAGAGGUGAGUGGAAUUCCGAGUGUAGAGGUGAAACUCGUAGAUAUUCGGAAGAACACCAGUGGCGAAGGCGACUCACUGGACAUGUAUUGACGCUGAGGUACGAAAGCGUGGGGAGCAAACAGG
This 253-nucleotide ribosomal RNA is filed under the name uncultured bacterium. RNAcentral describes it as "partial 16S ribosomal RNA". It matches the Rfam family "Bacterial small subunit ribosomal RNA", at positions 524 to 776 of the family's 1533-position model. The record is from RNAcentral.